RNAcentral lists this ribosomal RNA (541 nucleotides) under [Eubacterium] saphenum. RNAcentral's name for it is "bacterial SSU rRNA". It matches the Rfam family "Bacterial small subunit ribosomal RNA", at positions 371 to 935 of the family's 1533-position model. Lineage: Bacteria; Bacillati; Bacillota; Clostridia; Peptostreptococcales; Anaerovoracaceae. The record is from RNAcentral.
AUGGGGGAAACCCUGAUGCAGCAACGCCGCGUGAGGUAUGAAGGCCUUUGGGUGUGUGAAGCCUCUGUCCUAGGGGAAGAAAAAAAUGACGGUACCCGAGGAGGAAGCCCCGGCUAACUACGUGCCAGCAGCCGCGGUAAUACGUAGGGGGCAAGCGUUAUCCGGAAUUAUUGGGCGUAAAGAGUGCGUAGGUGGUCUACUAAGCGCGAGGUGAAAGGCAAUGGCUCAACCAUUGUUAGCCUUGCGAACUGGCAGACUUGAGUGCAAGAGAGGAAAGCGGAAUUCCUAGUGUAGCGGUGAAAUGCGCAGAUAUUAGGAGGAACACCGGCGGCGAAGCGGCUUUCUGGAUUGUAACUGACACUGAGGCACGAAAGCGUGGGUAGCAACAGGAUUAGAUACCCUGGUAGUCCACGCCGUAAACGAUGAGCACUAGGUGUCGGGACAUGAGUCUCGGUGCCGCAGUUAACGCCAUAAGUGCUCCGCCUGGGGAGUACGCACGCAGUGUAAACUCAAGGAAUUGACGGGGACCGCACAGCAGCGA